RNAcentral lists this long non-coding RNA (434 nucleotides) under Ursus maritimus (polar bear). RNAcentral describes it as "lncRNA (ENSUMAG00000012482.1)". Lineage: Eukaryota; Metazoa; Chordata; Mammalia; Carnivora; Ursidae. The record is from RNAcentral.
CCGAAACCCAGUUUCUUCAUCUGUCCAAGUGGAAUAAUCAUAUCUGCCCAUUUCCCAGAAUUGCUGCAAGACUUCCAUGAGAUAAUGUGUGCAGAGGGCACAGAGUUCCUAGCAAAGUGCUCAAAAAAAGGGUAGAAGUUAUGAUUUCUUCUUGAAAAUUCUCGACACAAGCCUUGGGUGUUUUGCCACUCUCACGAGAAUUAAAUACAAGCAUUUAUCUCCAGGGUGGCGUGCCUAGCUAGAACGCUUAGGACUUUUGCGUCUAAUCUUACAACACUCCUUUAAAGGAUUAUACCCCUUUUCGACAUGCUCAGAGAAGCUAAGUAACAACAGUGGCAGGACGUGCUUCUGGGUUGAGAGGAAGCCCUUCGGUUCUGAAGGCCCAGUAAGGUGAGGUUUAUUAUCUGCACACCCCAGCUCAGCAUACCACGGGU